This 450-nucleotide ribosomal RNA is filed under the name uncultured euryarchaeote. RNAcentral's name for it is "bacterial SSU rRNA". It matches the Rfam family "Archaeal small subunit ribosomal RNA", at positions 453 to 903 of the family's 1478-position model. Lineage: Archaea; Methanobacteriati; Methanobacteriota. The record is from RNAcentral.
CGGUGCCAGCCGCCGCGGUAAUACCGGCAGCUCGAGUGGUCGUCGCUUUUAUUGGGCCUAAAACGUCCGUAGCCGGUUUGGUAAAUCUGUGGGUAAAUCAACUAGCUUAACUAGCUGAAUUCUGCAGAGACUGCCAGACUAGGAACCGGGAGAGGUGUGGGGUACUCAAGGGGUAGGGGUAAAAUCCUGUCAUCCUUUGAGGACCACCAGUUGCGAAGGCGCCACACUAGAACGGAUUCGACGGUCAGGGACGAAGCCUAGGGGCACGAACCGGAUUAGAUACCCGGGUAGUCCUAGGUGUAAACGCUGUGAACUUGGUGUCGGGAGUCCGCAAUGGGCCCCCGGUGCCGGAGUGAAGAUGUUAAGUUCACUGCCUGGGGAGUACGGUCGCAAGGCUGAAACUUAAAGGAAUUGGCGGGGGAGCACUGCAACGCGAGGAGCGUGCGGUUU